RNAcentral lists this ribosomal RNA (611 nucleotides) under Aspergillus flavus. RNAcentral's name for it is "eukaryotic LSU rRNA". It matches the Rfam family "Eukaryotic large subunit ribosomal RNA", at positions 38 to 664 of the family's 3401-position model. Lineage: Eukaryota; Fungi; Ascomycota; Eurotiomycetes; Eurotiales; Aspergillaceae. The record is from RNAcentral.
GCAUAUCAAUAAGCGGAGGAAAAGAAACCAACCGGGAUUGCCUCAGUAACGGCGAGUGAAGCGGCAAGAGCUCAAAUUUGAAAGCUGGCUCCUUCGGGGUCCGCAUUGUAAUUUGCAGAGGAUGCUUCGGGUGCGGCCCCUGUCUAAGUGCCCUGGAACGGGCCGUCAGAGAGGGUGAGAAUCCCGUCUGGGAUGGGGUGUCCGCGCCCGUGUGAAGCUCCUUCGACGAGUCGAGUUGUUUGGGAAUGCAGCUCUAAAUGGGUGGUAAAUUUCAUCUAAAGCUAAAUACUGGCCGGAGACCGAUAGCGCACAAGUAGAGUGAUCGAAAGAUGAAAAGCACUUUGAAAAGAGAGUUAAAAAGCACGUGAAAUUGUUGAAAGGGAAGCGCUUGCGACCAGACUCGCCUCCAGGGUUCAGCCGGCAUUCGUGCCGGUGUACUUCCCUGGGGGCGGGCCAGCGUCGGUUUGGGCGGCCGGUCAAAGGCUCCCGGAAUGUAGUGCCCUCCGGGGCACCUUAUAGCCGGGAGUGCAAUGCGGCCAGCCUGGACCGAGGAACGCGCUUCGGCACGGACGCUGGCAUAAUGGUCGUAAACGACCCGUCUUGAAACACGG